Molecule: unclassified non-coding RNA, 205 nt
Filed under: uncultured Sebacina
Lineage: Eukaryota; Fungi; Basidiomycota; Agaricomycetes; Sebacinales; Sebacinaceae
Description: sequence contains ITS2
Source: RNAcentral
GUACUCUCACACUCUCUGAUCCUUUGGAUUGGGGGCGGUGGACUUGGGUGCUGCUGCUUUACGGUGGCUCACCUCAAAUGCCUUAGUGCAACUCUUGGUUGGACAUAGUACGGCGUGAUAAGUAUCUUCGCCGGCACCUCGCAAGAGGGUGGCUGAUCAGGAGCUCUGUGCUUCCAACUGUCUGUCUUUCAGACAACAACUGACA